Molecule: small nuclear RNA, 104 nt
Filed under: Salvator merianae (Argentine black and white tegu)
Lineage: Eukaryota; Metazoa; Chordata; Lepidosauria; Squamata; Teiidae
Source: RNAcentral
GUGCUCGCUUUGGUAGCACAUAUACUGAAAUUGAAACAGUACAGAGAUUAGCCUGGCCUUUGCGCAAGGAUGACAUGCAAAUUCAUGAAGCAUUCCAUAUUUUU